GUGCCAGCAGCCGCGGUAAUACGGAGGGUGCAAGCGUUGUCCGGAUUUAUUGGGUUUAAAGGGUGCGUAGGCGGCUAAUUAAGUCAGCGGUGAAAUUCCACAGCUUAACUGUGUGAACUGCCAUUGAUACUGGUUGGCUUGAGUACAGAUGAGGUAGGCGGAAUUGACAGUGUAGCGGUGAAAUGCUUAGAUAUUGUCAAGAACACCUAUUGCGAAGGCAGCUUACUAAACUGUAACUGACGCUGAGGCACGAAAGCGUGGGGAUCAAACAGGAUUAGAUACCCUGGUAGUCC
RNAcentral lists this ribosomal RNA (293 nucleotides) under uncultured bacterium. Its description in RNAcentral is "partial 16S ribosomal RNA". It matches the Rfam family "Bacterial small subunit ribosomal RNA", at positions 505 to 796 of the family's 1533-position model. The record is from RNAcentral.